GUGGGGUACGGAGACAUGCGUCCCGUGGGAGUGUGGGGUAAGAUUGUGGGCUCAUUAUGUGCUAUCGCAGGCGUGCUAACAAUAGCGCUUCCGGUUCCAGUGAUAGUUUCUAAU
Limulus polyphemus (Atlantic horseshoe crab) is the source of this 114-nucleotide non-coding RNA. The record is from Rfam. NCBI's taxonomy places the organism in Eukaryota, Metazoa, Arthropoda, Merostomata, Xiphosura, Limulidae.